GUGUCAGCCGCCGCGGUAAUACGGAGGGUCCGAGCGUUAUCCGGAAUCAUUGGGUUUAAAGGGUCCGUAGGCGGGCGUCUAAGUCAGUGGUGAAAUUCUGCAGCUCAACUGUAGGACUGCCAUUGAUACUGGUCGCCUUGAAUUAGUGUGAAGUGGCUAGAAUAUGUAGUGUAGCGGUGAAAUGCUUAGAUAUUACAUAGAAUACCGAUUGCGAAGGCAGGUCACUAACACUAUAUUGACGCUGAUGGACGAAAGCGUGGGGAGCGAACAGGAUUAGAUACCCUGGUAGUCCACGCCGUAAACGAUGGAUACUAGCUGUCCGGCCUGCAUUGGUAGGCUGGGUGGCCAAGCGAAAGUGAUAAGUAUCCCACCUGGGGAGUACGUUCGCAAGAAUGAAACUCAAAGGAAUUGACGGGGGCCCGCACAAGCGGUGGAGCAUGUGGUUUAAUUCGAUGAUACGCGAGGAACCUUACCAGGGCUUAAAUGUAGUCUGACAGGGGUGGAAACACCCCCUUCUUCGGACAGACUGCAAGGUGCUGCAUGGUUGUCGUCAGCUCGUGCCGUGAGGUGUCAGGUUAAGUCCUAUAACGAGCGCAACCCCUGUCGUUAGUUGCCAGCAUGUAAAGAUGGGAACUCUACCGAGACUGCCGGUGCAAACCGUGAGGAAGGUGGGGAUGACGUCAAAUCAUCACGGCCCUUACGUCCUGGGCCACACACGUGCUACAAUGGCAGGUACAAUGGGCAGCCACUGCGCAAGCAGGAGCGAAUCCACAAAACCUGUCUCAGUUCGGAUCGGGGUCUGCAACUCGACCCCGUGAAGCUGGAAUCGCUAGUAAUCGGAUAUCAGCCAUGAUCCGGUGAAUACGUUCCCGGGCCUUGCACACACCGCCCGUC
This 894-nucleotide ribosomal RNA is filed under the name uncultured bacterium. Its description in RNAcentral is "bacterial SSU rRNA". It matches the Rfam family "Bacterial small subunit ribosomal RNA", at positions 505 to 1398 of the family's 1533-position model. The record is from RNAcentral.